AACGUAGGAGCCAAGCGUUAUCCGAAUUCACUGGGCGUAAAGCGCGUGUAGGCGGCUUGGCAAGUCGGGUGUGAAAGCCCUGGGCUCAACCUAGGAAGUGCACUCGAAACUGCCUCGCUUGAAUGCCGGAGAGGAAAGCGGAAUUCUCGGUGUAGAGGUGAAAUUCGUAGAUAUCGAGAGGAACACCGGUGGCGAAGGCGGCUUUCUGGACGGUGAUUGACGCUGAGACGCGAAAGCGUGGGGAGCAAACAGG
This 253-nucleotide ribosomal RNA is filed under the name uncultured bacterium. RNAcentral's name for it is "partial 16S ribosomal RNA". It matches the Rfam family "Bacterial small subunit ribosomal RNA", at positions 524 to 776 of the family's 1533-position model. The record is from RNAcentral.